RNAcentral lists this ribosomal RNA (497 nucleotides) under uncultured bacterium. Its description in RNAcentral is "partial 16S ribosomal RNA". It matches the Rfam family "Bacterial small subunit ribosomal RNA", at positions 28 to 507 of the family's 1533-position model. The record is from RNAcentral.
GAUGAACGCUGGCGGCGUGCCUAAUACAUGCAAGUCGAGCGAACAGACGAGGAGCUUGCUCCUCUGAUGUUAGCGGCGGACGGGUGAGUAACACGUGGAUAACCUACCUAUAAGACUGGGAUAACUUCGGGAAACCGGAGCUAAUACCGGAUAACAUGUUGAACCGCAUGGUUCAACAGUGAAAGACGGUCUUGCCGUCACUUAUAGAUGGAUCCGCGCCGCAUUAGCUAGUUGGUAAGGUAACGGCUUACCAAGGCAACGAUGCGUAGCCGACCUGAGAGGGUGAUCGGCCACACUGGAACUGAGCCACGGUCCAGACUCCUACGGGAGGCAGCGGUAGGGAAUCUUCCGCAAUGGGCGAAAGCCUGACGGAGCAACGCCGCGUGAGUGAAGAAGGUCUUCGGAUCGUAAAACUCUGUUAUUAGGGAAGAACAAAUGUGUAAGUAACUAUGCACGUCUUGACGGUACCUAAUCAGAAAGCCACGGCUAACUACGUG